AAGUAUUAGAGGCAUUGCCUGCCCAGUGACUAAAGUUAAACGGCCGCGGUAUCCUGACCGUGCAAAGGUAGCAUAAUCACUUGUUCCUUAAUUAGGGACUAGAAUGAAUGGCUAAACGAGGGUUCAACUGUCUCUUACUUUCAAUCAGUGAAAUUGACCUUCCAGUGAAGAGGCUGGAAUCUCCCAAUAAGACGAGAAGACCCUAUGGAGCUUUAAUUUACUAGUUCAACUUAUAUAAAAACAACCUAAUGGGCUAAAACAAAAUAAAUAUGAACUAAAAAAUUUCGGUUGGGGUGACCUCGGAGAAUAAAAAAUCCUCCGAAUGAUUUUAACCUAGACUCACAAGUCAAAGUAAUACUAAUAUCUUAUUGACCCAAUUAUUGAUCAACGGACCAAGUUACCCUAGGGAUAACAGCGCAAUCCUAUUUAAGAGUUCAUAUCGACAAUUAGGGUUUACGACCUCGAUGUUGGAUCAGGACAUCCCAAUGGUGCAGAAGCUAUUAAUGGUUCGUUUGUUCAACGAUUAAAGUCCUACGUGAUCUG
RNAcentral lists this ribosomal RNA (543 nucleotides) under Rattus norvegicus (Norway rat). RNAcentral's name for it is "partial large subunit ribosomal RNA". It matches the Rfam family "Bacterial large subunit ribosomal RNA", at positions 1841 to 2607 of the family's 2925-position model. The record is from RNAcentral. Lineage: Eukaryota; Metazoa; Chordata; Mammalia; Rodentia; Muridae.